AGACAACUCUUUUGAAAAAGCAUCAUAGUUACCAAGAUGCUUCAGAAAUACUGCGCAUAGACACGAAGAAUUGGGAGUCUUCAGAAGAGUGGAUUAACUACCCAGGAUGUAUCAGUGCAGGGAAUAUAUGUCCACACGUAUUAUCAUCAGGAAAACGACAUUAUGUAGCAGAAAUGGUUUUGUGCAGACCUUUCCAGAUUUUCCUAACAUAGCUGUUUUUCUUCCUGGAAAGAUCUUUGUACCUCAGUCAGUUGAGUUGCACGACAGUGUUCCUGCAUUUCAGAACUGAUCAGUAAUGAAACAGGCACCAGCCAGGUACAGCAUAAGCAGAUACAGGAUGAAGUGUGCAGCACCUGGCAACAUUUCUGAACCCUGAGCUGAAAUGACAACUGUGAAAGAACCAGAAGGGAAGUGCAAUUUCUACAAGAGAAUCCCUGUCAUGCCCGCUAAUUAAUGCCUCCGGCACGUGAACCCCCUGUCCCUAUCACACUGGGCUGAAACUGAAGCUGUCAGCUCAUUUGGGGCAAGUCACCAUAAGGGCUAUGAGGCUGUAAUAUCCCCUACAGCCCUGUCAUGUUUGCAGCCCAGGACAAUAUAGUCAGUGCAGGGAAACAUCCAAGAAGGGAAAAAAA
Cygnus olor (mute swan) is the source of this 632-nucleotide long non-coding RNA. RefSeq lists it as uncharacterized. NCBI's taxonomy places the organism in Eukaryota, Metazoa, Chordata, Aves, Anseriformes, Anatidae. The transcript is spliced from 3 exons. The record is from RefSeq and is a predicted model, not a curated record.